Monomorium pharaonis (pharaoh ant) is the source of this 14668-nucleotide long non-coding RNA. RefSeq lists it as uncharacterized. NCBI's taxonomy places the organism in Eukaryota, Metazoa, Arthropoda, Insecta, Hymenoptera, Formicidae. The record is from RefSeq and is a predicted model, not a curated record. The transcript is spliced from 5 exons.
UUAUUAAGUACCAAAAACCAUUUUGACUGAGAAAUGACAUUUUCUGUUCAUAAUUGUAUUAAUUACAUAUCGGUCUAAUAAUUAACUUAUUAUUGUUUGUUAUAUUUUUUAUAUAUAGAGUAAUAAGAGAUAGUAUGAAAGAGUGUAAAUAUAUAAAAAUGUUAAAAUCGUGUUUAUUGUAAAUAAUGAAAUAAUAAGACUAUUACGUGUAACGUAAAAUCGAGACAUUUGACGUCCGAUAAAUUCGAUCCGAUCGAAUUAUAAAAUUUCAACUUGACGUUCAUCGAAUUGUUUCUUUGCCGUCGAGCACCUGAUUGAUUGACAGCUUAAAGAUUAACAUGUCUUUUUUCCCCUCUCUCGGGAAAUAUGGUAUAGAAAAAUUCAGACGACUCGCGUCAAACUCGGGACAUGAUAAACUAAUCGCGCGGCAGCAUCCGACUUCGAACCAUCUUCGUCCUCGUGGUGCUUACGUUACGAUACAUUCACGCUUAUCUCGCGAAUGCAUCCAACGAACUCUCCGUCCGGAUACAGGCACAUUAGCAUACCUAAUGGCCCUUUGUUUGGCUAACUUGAACUACGAAUGCUGCGAGUGAGACACGGUUCGUUAACUUUUGACCGAAUCAAAUUACAUGAAUUUAUUGUCCCAACGCCUUCGUGGUAUUUCAUCGUGGAUCUAGCCGCGCGCGGGAGUUUACAUUGCUCUUGGACGGAAGUUCGACGUUUCGGUGGAAUCAAUUCUGCCAGAAACUCGCUCGGUUUCAACGCACCUCGGAGAUAUUCUCGUUAGAGCACGGCGAUACCUUCGGAUAACUUCUACAUGGCGAAAUGCAAUUCCGCAACGUGUAUGUAUUUUACAACGAGUAAUAUUGUUUCUAAGUAAUGAUGUACAUCGACAUUUCCCGUUUUAUUCCUCGUGUAUAUUUGCAGCGAAAUUCCGGGUGACGCAUGUAGCCGAACACUGAUAAUAACGGUAGAAUGAAGUUUGCACUGUAAUAAGAUUUGUUUGAACAACUUGGUGCAUGAACAAAAUUCAAUAUAUCGAUAUGGUUUUAAUACACUCGCUCGCACCACAUCGAAUGCAUUAAUAUUUGUUUAUGGAAAAAUACAGCGAGCUAACCUAACCACAUCGAGACAAAUGAAGAAAUUAAUUAAGAAAUAAUUUUACGUUGCUUCGAAACUUGGCUUCUUAUCAAUGGCAAAUGUCAGUUUAAAGCUUAAACGAUUCAAAGUUUAUUCUAAUCUCGCAUAAUUCAAUGAUACUAAUGUUCACAUUAAGCAAACGUUAUUUCGAGGGCUAAGAAAAAAAAACUAUUUUUAUGUGAAUUUUUUUCGAAAAGUAUACAGACGAUUUAUUUUAAAUUUUAUAUAUGUAUAUAUAAUACGUAUUUUAUAAUUAAAAUUGUUUAGUAAAAAUAAUAAAAAUUAUAGUAAUUAUUAAGUUUAUGACUUCUAUAAAAUGUAAACACUCAGUAAUCAGAGACAAAAAAAAAUAAAAUUUUUAUGUGAAAAUGUUUGGUUAUUAUUAAAACUGUAAUAGGAUUAUAAAAAACAAAUUGUUUCUUCAAUAAUUUUAAAAUAUAUAAAAAUUGCAUUUACAAAAUCAUCAAAAACCUCGAACAAUUUUACGCGCGCUAGAAAUAAAACAAAAAAAUUAAUGGGAUUCCUAAAUUCUUUAAAUUAUUUAUUGUUGCUGUUUUAUUUAAAUUCCAAUAGUUCUAAACAAAACACUGGAUACCUGUAGAUAAAUUAAUAAUCUAAUUUUUUCAGAAUCAUGAACGUCUAUAUUUUACAGGAGCCGCAAAACAAUUUUUGAAACUACUAUAAUUUUCAUAAUUCUUACUUAUAAAAGUUUCUAUUAUUUAUAAAAAAGACAUGUACUAUUAUGUGUAUAAUAAAAAAAUACGAACAGUCUUUCUUGGUCCUGAUAACAUGAUCCUUUAAUUAACACGCCCCGACAUGUGGCCGCGUCAACAAAAGAAUUUCCCGCGUUGCGUCGCGCCGCGCGAAGCAAUCGCGAAGUUAGUCGAAUCACGUGAUCAAAUUUCCGGUCAGUUAAGUGCAGCGUCAUUCCGUGGCCGGCCGCGUUCGCUCCGCGCUUCCGCGUCUCCUUACCUGGCGUCCGGGCGAGUUCCGCGUAUCGAGGGAGUGGAGCCGGUGUGUUGUGGAAUUCGUCGACGAGUCGGAGUUCCAACGUGCCGAUCCGCUGCUGUCCAUCCGCGAUCAGCGUCCGUCGCCUCGCAUUUCCGAUCGCCUCGUCGAAUCCGGGCGAAUCUCGUCGAAGACACUCGUCCCGUCGCGACGUGUCGCGACGUGUGCCCGCUCAAGCGUGCUGGGACGCCGUUCCUGUUUAUACCACGGAGCAUUUACAAGGACCGCCGUCGAAUAACAUCGAGCGGAGCAUCGGGGGAAACGCGGGAGGACCGGCGUCUGUUGAUGUAGGUGACCGACCUCCCCCCUGCUUGUUUACGAUACUCGCCUCGUUGUCCGCCAUGGAGUGACGUCACGCCACUUUUCGCGUAUUUUCCACGGGACACACCGUGGUCGGUGAGUGAGUUUACGGACGUUUCGUUGCCGGUGUGAUGUGACACGAUGUUGAAUCGCGGUCGAACGAUCGGUGCCUUCGUCGCUGUUUCGUAUCCGCACGACGAAUAUUCGAUCGCGUACGUCCGUCGAAAAAUUUCCUCGCACAAGUGUGUAUGUGCGCGUGUGCGCGCGCGCGCGUCUCGUUCUCGUCUCGCGCUACACUGUGAAUGUGGUUACUUAUCGGGAGUAUCGAUCGCGAUAGACAUGGCCGAUGAUAUAUCCAUCAGUGGCGGAUUACACAUCAGUGGGCAUUUUGAUGGCUCCAACAAGUGCAAAUUGACUCGACGGGGGGUUCUCCUUCGCGAUAUCGAGACUCCGGGACAGAAGUGUAUGUGUGUGUGUGUGUGAAAAGAUCUGCUUUCGUUGUGUCCGGGAACAGCAAAACAGACAUGAUUUCUCGUAGUUUUCGGGACGAGCGAUACGACGGUGUUGGUCAAGGUUAUGUUGCACGACGAAAGCACGUAAAAAAGAAUCGAGUUCAAAGCGUUCCCCGUUGUGCGGCGUGAUUUCGACCGGCACCGUCGUGAAAGCUACGAAGAAAUUAUGUUUGUUUUGCUUUUCCCGAGUGCAGAGAGCACAGGUCUUCCUUCGCAACCUCUCUCUCCCUUCGUCGACGAACGAUACGGAGUGACUUUCGCACUGUUGUCGCGUCACCUUCGUGUCAAUGUCACGCAUUUUUCGACGAGUUCCGCAGGGUUAUUUCUCUUUUCGCGAAUUUGUCGGAUUAAAUCUUGAAAUAUAUAUUCGUCAGUAUUUACACACGAUAUUUAUAUAUGUAAUAAAUUGACAAUGAUCGCGAUUAUUUUCCGUACUCGCAGUUGCCUCGCCGAUCGGAAGUAAAAUUUACGUUAUUGCUCUCGCUUAGUCAAUUCGCUAUGGUUCCUCGUAGUUACGUAAACAACAUAAUCGCUUUGUGAGAUUACGCGGAUGACGUAAUCGAGGAUCAUUUUCUGCCGGCUGCGGUCACCGUUUACAUCUGCACUCCGUAAAUCGGAACCGCAGUUACGUCGUAUAGCUCUCGUUUAAUUCGCUGUAGCCGUGUACACGUUGCAAUUAAUACAAUUGCUUUUUAUGAGAUUACGUCCACGAUCUAAUUAAACUGUACGCGAUAGUGAUUAACGGCGAUUACGAUUGUUCCUCGCGUUGAUCGCGACAUCACCGCAUUUGCAGGUUAUUUUGCAAAAAGUAACAUUUUAUGGUUAAUCCUAUGGCCGUGAUCGAAUUGCGAUUUCAAGUUUUACGAAAGAGUAAAUAAUUCAUGAGAACACGAAUACCGCAGGGAAUAUCGGGGAGAGAAAGAGAGAGGGAGAGAGAGAGAGAGUAUCGAGUGAUCAUCAUGUUGCGCAUAGAUGUGCGGCCACUAGUGAAUUUUGACCCCCUGAACCGUAAUUGGAUUUGGAGAUCCCUAUCGUGGUCCUAGAUGCGCCAGCCGCUGCACCUAAUGGAAAGUCCGCCGCUGGUGGGUGUUGAUUAGCGCGAAUGUACUUUUCGGUGGCCCGGUGACAGAUAUCGACUGCGUUCCGUUUGGACUCUCUCUGUCGCGUCCGUCGGAAGAACUCGUUUACUAAUAUGCGCCUGUCGUGUUAUUUCGCGAGUACGUUGAUUGAGUGCGUCGCAAGUGCAUCGAAGAGCAUCGAGGGACAUCGAGGGACCGUAAUGGACCAUUGAGACAGGGGACUGCUGCUCGUCUACGAAGACUGUGGGCAGGAUCUUUACAUUCUCGAAUAAUUUGGCUGCUGGCCGGAAUUCAUGGGACCGGGUUCCACUUCAGCCAACGGCCAUUUCGGCACCGUUUGACCGUCGCUGUCGCCAGUCAGCACCGACCAACGCAGUUCGCAUCAACUCCGCUGUUGCACAUCGUAUUGCGCGGUCGGCUCGGGAGCGGAGCGGCAACGAAAAACGACGCGAGGUAAAAGGAAACGGAUCGAGGGAGAUUAAAAGAGCGGGAAAAUGCUUUAUUGCUUGCUCAACUCACCUUCCUCGGUUAAAUGAGCGCCGCCCACCUUCGCAUUGCCGACUGUAAAAGGAAGCGCCGAGAGGAGUUGCAGAAAGCGUACGAUUUCCAGGGCACCCUAUGGGUAAGUGUCCAUACAAGUGUGUAUUUUCUCGCGUGGCGCUCGCGCUUGAAGGCGCCGGCGAUAACCGUCUGCGGUUCUUAUCGCACUUCCUCGAUCUGCGCCCCGUGCGACGUAAAAUAUCCCACCACGGGCACCACGGUCCGCGGCACGCACGCGGAAUCGUCGAACCGCUCGUGCCGAUUGUAAAUCACACGGCGAACGAUCGGCGCUCGGGUCGCUGUGGGUAGAUCGAUUCGGGCCCGAUAAAAGAUUGAUCGCACGCGGAACUAUAAUAAGUGAGCGCGGUUCACUCCGAGGGUGGGUGAGAUGAGGCUAUACGUGUGGGCAGGCCGUGCCACGUGCGAGAAAAAUUGCGGUCGGACGUAAUCGAGGAUACGCGCGUACACACGAUGCUCUUUAAACAGAAAAGUGCGGUGCAAGGUAAUAACAGGAUUGCUAUCGCGUUGGCGCGCGUCUUGGCGCAAAACGAAACCUUAUCUGCGCGCGCGCGCGCGUUUCUCGCGCCUCUGCGAAACGUGUGCGUGACAUAGGUGUAGAUAAAUAAUUAUAUAUUGUGUUCGGCGAUGCGUUCCGCGUCGUUCCGCUUACGCUUCUCUCUCGCGGUGCGCUUCUCGAAAGAGACGACCGACGGAAGAAACUAUAGACAGAAGAUUUAUACGAUGUAUUACUUAUAAAACGCGUUAUUGUUUGCCGCGCGUGAUCGAAUCCAGUGUCCAAUUAUAUAUCGCGAGGAACAAGUACCGAUUAUUUCGAGACGGGCGCGCGGCGCUACAUUGAAAGGCGCUUCUUUAACGAAGACGUAUAUUCCCCCAUUCAAUCCUAAUGCCGCGCGCGAGCGUUAGGCCAGAUUCUCGCCCCGAUACCGGAAGUAACUAAAUCAAAAGCGUAGAAUCUCGAGCGAAGUAAUUUACUGCCGCCGGCUGCCGUUUUUUUUUUUCUGGUUUCCUCGAGCCCCGCGAACAAUUAGACCCUUUAUGAGAGAGAGACGCGAAGAAGGGCACCGGGACGCCGACGCAAAGAAGGCCGACGCGCCUCUUUCAUAUCCCGCGUCAUCGGCGGGAGACGAAUGGAGAGAAAGUUGUUUAAAGUGACGCUCGCCACGUGUUCCAAGUGCCGUGGGUAAGGACCGCGCGAAGCGACGUUGGAAGCCGCGGUGAUCGAAGCCGCGCGCGCAUCAUCCGAAUAGAGUAAGAGAAAUGACGACGGGUCGGUCAUAAAAUUUUCUUCAUCUUUUGGGGGGGAGGCAAAAUCCAUUUAGAAACAACAGUGUCGCGGCGUUAACAAACUGCCAUCCGUAGGAAGUCCAUUACAUAUUCUCUGAAGAGUUAAGCGCCCUUUUAACCACGUCGCCUUAGGUAUUUAUGAUUUGUUACUUGUUGUCGCACUCGGCCGGCGGUCCAUUAUGUAUAUCUGGUCUGUUUGAAAUCCGUACAUCGGGACAGGACCGAAGAUUUGUAGCGCGUAAAUCAGACGCGGCGGGACGCGUGCAGCCGGGCUCCACCCGUUUACCGAUGCGUUUUCCUGUUUUACUCCGUAUUAAUUUACAUCGAAAUUUUAUCUCAAUAUUUUCUAAGUGCUCACCGGCGACGGACCGAGCCGGCGUUCAUUUCAAAGAACCACUAUACUGUCUCACUGUACUGGGAUAGGUAUAUAUUUGUGCACGACAGUAGGGGAAAACGUACAAAAGAGAGUGUACUCUCUGAAAAUCCGUUUCAGCAAAUGACGAAGACCGCCUCUCUGUCUCCUCUCCUUUCGCCGUUUCAGCCUCCCUCGCCUCCUCGAAACAUCUACGUCCCAUCUUUAACACUACUCGAGUUUCAGAGAAAACGUGCACGCCCGGCUUGCGUUUCCACGGCGACGUUCACAGCGGAAGAGACCGGCGUGGCUCGGCGCGGGCCGGUAUAGGAGGUUGAUACCGAACGUGUAUACUCGCCACCGUGAGCAGCGGGGUCUCCCGAUUAAUGGACUACGCGUUCCAGACGCUUGUAGCGGACGCGUGUAGACAUGGCGUGGGUACACACCACCGUUCGACCAUCGGACAAACGCUAUAAAUUGGUAACCAGUUCGUAGAGACCGCGAUGUCGCGUCGCGUUGCGUCUCGGCGUCCUGGGUAGCGGAGGAAACUUGGUAUCGGCGUGUGUCGUCUCGGCCCGUCGUCGUCGUCUCGACGCGCGCGCUGGUGCGCCAGGUGCGCGCUCCCGUUAUUAUCGUAUGGAGAUAGGUAGGGUGCAUAAGCGAUUAGGAGACAAUGGACUGUUCGCGACCGCCGUGCUCGUCGUCGCGACCAGACGCGGCGCGUUCCCGCGAAAAUAUUAUAUUACGUUUGGAUGAUAUGUGUUCCCGAGAAGGGAAGGAAGGCAGAGACAGCUCAAGCCGGUUACAUCAACUCACCGACCGGCGCGGCGAUCGAUCGAUCCUCCUCCCGAUACUGUCGUGCUCGCUCUGCAAAAGCGCCGCAAUUUAUUUCCUUUAUGUCGCCGUUCGACGCGAGGGCUGUGUGUAGGUAUUUGAUUGUACGCCGUGGAAACGGCUAUUGGCGGAAACGUUUCUGGAAAUUGCACACUUUCUUUAUACUGGCAUAGGCAAUUGUUGUACUUUUUAUCAGAACCGCGCGAACAGAGAGUAUUGCAUACUAUUAUUUUAUUUACGGUCAAUCCUCUCCGAUGCUGAAGAGACAGAGUAUUAUCUUCGAGCAACUUUUAUCCUCCGUCCAGCAAUGAUCAAGAUCAAGAAAGUUAAACGGAGAGGAUAUUUUUACAAAUAAACGAAAUAAAAUUUGAUAAAAUACAUUUUCCCGGUUUGUGCUUCUUGAUUUCUCGGCGAACUUUUGUGGUUAAGAGAGAAAAAUGAAAGACGAAGUCGGAAAAGUUUCUGUAAUAUCCCCAGCUUGAGACCCCGAUGUCGGGCCAGACAUUAUUUCUCUCAGGAUGAAGCGCGGUUUUCGGAUUUUCCGUGGAAAAUUAGCGCGCCCCUAAUCUCCCGAUUGCGGAAGGAACGAAAGGAGCUAAUCGGCCGCCAAGUGGAUUAUAAAUUUUGCUGGCGGAGACGCUGCGCCGGCGAAACGAAGUAGGAAGAUGCAUCUGGCAUCUCGCCGAGAAAGCCUCCGGUGUGAGGCAGCUUCGGUUGUCGGGGUCGCGCGGGCAGAGGCAAUCCUUUCUCAUUAUUAGUCUUCUUAUCUGACGGAGGAGGGAAGCGAUAGGGAAGACCGUCGUGGUUUCAUCCGCCCGACAUCGUCGGGUUUCUCUCCGCGUAAUUAAAAGUAAUGAUUCAAUGACGAAAGCAUCGCGCGUGAUCGUCCCGACGACGACGUGAAAACCACACGUCGUUCUUCAGGCCGUGAGACUCUUCGUUCGUCGGCCACCGAUGUCGUGUCGGUAGUCCCGGCCGACUUCAACUACCCCCUCCUGCAAACUGGUUUCGGACGUAAUUGGAUGCGACUCCGGCCUACGUUAAAGUCCGAGCAGCACGAUGCCGAGCGUCCGUCGUUGGGCUUCGCCGCCAUGAACGAGAAAGCCCGUUGUCGCCGCUAAAUUUCUUCUUGCCGACCAUUUAAACCGGGUAUCCGGCCGAUGCACGGUAGGAACGUGCGAUAAGUUUGCGCACUUAACGGGUCCUACGAGCUGAUCUUGGAAUUUCGUCGAUUCGCUCGAUUGGCCUCGUGCCGCGAGCGUUUUAUAAUUUGAUAAACCCGCAUUUUUACAGGAUAUUAUGAAGUCCAUUUGAACUGAAAUUUAUGUGAGAUAAACGUCGAUUUCAAAAUAGCGUCGAUUACAAUGCUGCCUGUUGGGAAGGCAAUUGUAGUUACGUUUGAAACAAAUAUAGGGUUGUAAUUGUGGUGAAAAAAGGGCAUGGUACCGUUACACACGCCCGAAACUACGCCUAGUGUGUUUCCGUCCGAUUGCUCUGCUAAUUGUUGGGGAGCCGACAGUUAGUAUUUACCUUAAAGCGGAUAGGUCCAAUUACGGAAUACGCGCGCGCUUUACCCUCCAGCUUCCGCCGCAUCGGAAUUGUGCUCUAUACGCUCUCGCGACGGAUGAGCGGCGUUCGGUAUCUCGUACAACCGCAUCAAUCUCUCGCCAGGUUUUUUACACUUUUCGCUUAACCAUAGUUUUAGAAGGGAUUUCUAGCAAUUGGAUGUGGCAGGAAGCCGCGCUCCGACGGCGUCUCUCCCGCCUAGUUUCCACCGAAAGCUCCGACUCCGGAGUAACAAACCCCACGCGAAACUUUCCCCUUCCCCGGGGCCAACACUCUGGCCGGCUGGUCGAGGGCGAAAAGGUCGAAGCCUGCCUUCGCCUUGCCUCCAACCCCGCGCAUCUCUCCUCCACCUUCAUCUCGCCCUUCUCUGGUGGGGUUAGCGCGGGAGCCGCGUAAUGAGCUUCCCAGGCCGGUUGUAACGAGCAAAAACUUAUCGUCACUCUCCCUUCUGAUUUACUCGACCUGCCACGUCGUUAGUUGUACUGUGCCCCUCCCGCUCUACCGCGUCCGCCCCUAAAAAAAAGGGCCCGGUGCUCUCGCUGCAUCACUACGAGUACGCGCGCGUUAUUUUUUGGAAAAAAUUAUAACUUCGCAGCUCGUUUCUCGAACGGGAUUCACGACUGGCAAUUACGGCUUGCGCCGUUUCAUGGGUGUGCGUCAACUGUCUAUGAUUUACUAUUUACAUUAAUAUCGUGUAUAUCAUGAAACAAGAUCGUUAUAAUGAGUAUAAGUUCGACUGGAUGAUGACAGCUCGUUUUAGACAUGAUCACAAGAAAAGAGAGCCAUUAGGCGAGAUUUCAUUAUUAAUGAGCUUUAAAGAUACUAGUAGCUAAAUUAUAAUUGAAUUUGGGAAAUCUUAUCUUUCCCUAUAUCAAAUCUCCAAACUAUAUUUUAUCUGUACUAUUUAAUUAUUAUAAUUAAUUUUAUCUUUUUCUUUGUCUCUGUCUUUCGUACUUGCUAAAAUCAGACUUAUUAUUCUGAAUAAAUAUUAAUAUUUAUUUUAAUGUUUUAAAAAUUUAUGUGAAAUUGAAUAAUUUAUUUUUACAUUUUAGAAGGAAAAGAUAUGAUUGAGAUAUAAGUAAAUACUGAGUGUGCGUUGUGUUACACACAGUUGGUCCAUUUCCGUUAUAUAUAUAUUUGUCUCUGCGUCCUGAGAAGCUCCCGUAAGCCUUCUUCUAAAAAAGACUUUAACAACGAAUCCUUCGAAAAUCCGAGGGGAAAAAGAGUAGAAGCUAUACUGUUACAAAAAUCUCAAAGUUUUGUAUCUUUAGAUAACAAAAUUUAUGUGAUUUAGGUGAUAUCUGAUAAUGUAAUUAAAAAAAAUGUUAAUAAAAAAUACAGAAUUAAUCGUAAAUAACAAAGAGAUAAGUUAUUCGCUAAUUAUUGAACGAUAUAUUGUUUACAUAUUUUAUAUGAAAGUUUUUAGAUUAUUCAACAAGUCUAACGUUAUAAAAUUUGACGUUGAGAAUUUUUCUCACGCAGACAACUACGGAAAUUCCUUUUAAGAACUUAUAGUCGGCUACAUAAUUAAUUUUUUUCGUAAAAUUUUUUUUUAUUUUUGUGCCGUUACACGCUUGGGACGACUUUGAAUAAAAGCGCGGCCAAUAAAAUGCAGAUUGUCGACGAGAUAUAUUGAGAGCUGACACUUGAUAGAUUGCUUGGCGAUCAGUGUCGGAUUAAAUAAGAUGAGAAAGCACAUUCGUGCCUAUAAUGGUAACGGUUUCGCAAUCCUCCACGGCGAAUAGAGCCCGGGUCGCUUCCUGGAAAAGUUAGGAAUUUGAUUAGACGCUCGCGGCGCUAAUCGAUAGCCUUAAUUAUAACUGUCGAUUGCUCGCUGGCGAAAGAAAUCGAUAGCGCGUUGGCACUCAGGGCGACUUACAGGCCAUUGCCCGGACUUGUCGGCUAUGAAUGUCGCGAUUCGUACGUUGUUUGAGCCGUUUAUCUUAAUGAGGGUUAUUUGAUCCCUCGUGUCGUCGGCGACGCAGGAACUCGUAACGCAAUAAAGCAAAAAGCUAAUGGUCCUCGUUACUUCAUUGUUAGGUGAUAAAGAUCGACGUAACGUCGAUCGACGCUCUCGUUUGCUUUCGUUCGUCGAAAUAGACGUCUAUCACUGGGAUAUGUCUCUUGUCGGCGUCGUUCGUUAGCCUAAUUGCGGACAUCGAGCGCAAUUUGCCGCGUUCGAUUCGUCAUCGUCGUCGGAGCGCAUUCCUAUAAAUUAUCCCUGCCGCUCCCAUUUCUCGGAAAGAUGAAUUGCAUCGAAUCGGUAUCGUCUUAACGUACGGAACAAAUACAUUUCACGCGAUAGCGUUUGAAACAAUUUCAAUGAAAGAGCUCCGACCUUAUCAGCUACCUGCACUCCAUUAGGUCUGAGCUAUUCAUAUCCGAGACUGGCAUUUCUCAUCAGCGACCAGACGUUUGUGGAUCGUUAACUUUUAUGUCGUUGUUCUACUUUCUUCUGCAUGCAGGACGGCCUACUUGCUACUGUAAAAGUACCAUUCCGCGGUCGUGAUUACGAUAUCGAAUUGCUUCUUGCACGUUCUCGCGUUCUAUUUGACACUGGUGAAAUUGUACACUCUUCUACAAACACCGCUCUUGUCAUAUGAUUAUACGAACGCUCCAUGAUAAAGUCGGUGACAUUUUGAUACGUUUAUUUUAAACUUUUGAUAAUAGUCUCGAUUUGAUUUUUAGAAUAUAAUUAUAUUUUAUUUAACAUGUGCCCUGAUUAAUAAGUGCAUAAGUAAAAAAUUAUGCAAAUCUUGUUGCAUAUCUCGCCAUUAAUCAUUUGAUUCAAUUUCUUACAGAUAUAUUAUUUUUUGAAAUUAAGAUUCUAGUGAAAAUAGUAGAGAAACAAAUUUUUUAUUAUUUAUUAAUAUGUAAUUUUCGAUUUUUUAAAUAUGUUAAAAAGUAAAGUGCUCUCUCAAGCUUGCCUGACUAUUUUUCAUCGCAAACCGAGUAUCCAUUCGGACGUGCCGUUUCUCUAAUAACUACCCGCUACAAGGGGUCGUAAUAAUUAUCUUACAAUUUUCGCCGCAUUAGAGCAGGCUCUAACACUCAAACGAUCCAAAUCUUCCGGUCUUGCAAGGGCAGCGAGUUCAAAACUAAUUGACCGUGGCGGGGAACUCAUUAAAAGUGCACUCCGGAACUCGAGACGCCGGUGGUUCGUAACGAGUGUUGUAAUUCGAGCUGGAUCCUUCCGUACCGCGUAAACGGUAGUCUUAUGCCACUAUCUCAGCAGCUGCGCUGAUCCCCCUUUGCUUUUGGUUUACGAACCCCAGCCGUGCCCUAUUUUUGAGCCGAUCCUUAUUGAUAAAGAAACGUUAUGCAGGAUGUAUUAUAAUUGCAUAUCAAUGCAGGAAAAUUAGGACAGCUACAGGUUUCAUAAUUAUUAAGCACUAGCAAAAUUUGAAUAUUAUUGCUUUGUAAUUAUUUUUAGAUAAAGAUACAAAUAUAUAAGAAUAUAAUAGGCAAAGAUAUAGUACAAGAAUACAAACAUUUUCGAAUAAAAUCCGUUUGUAUCAAUUGCAGACGCGAAUCAAUUAUAGAAUUUGUCACAAAUAUGACUGAUUUAUCGGAGUCGCUCGAGUAUUGAUAUGACGAAUUGUUUUUCGUUACACAUCGAACGGCAGCCUCGUCGAAAAAGAUACAAAUAAAAAUACACAAACGGUAUAAUAUAAAGAUAAGAUCAUUCUCGAAUCGAACUCAUUUGAAUCAGUUGCAGACGUGAAUCAAUUAUGGAAUUUGUCGCGAAUAUAAUUGAUUUAUCGGAACCACUCGAGUUUUAUUGGUGCGGCAGGAUGUAUUUCGUUAUAUAUCAAGCGGCAAUGUGCUUCGCCGAAGAGGAAAAGGAAAUAAUCGGCUUAGCCGAGCGACUUCGUUAGAUUGACAAAAGUUUGUCCCUGGCCGAAUUCCCAUUCCGAGUUUUUUCUCGAUAGGAUCGCAGUGAAGCUGACGAUGCGGAGAUAAGAGAGAUUGGAGAAAAUAUAGGAAAUCUGAGAGACAGACAGACAGAGAGAGAGAGAAAGAGAGAGAGAGGAUUUCUGCAAAGAGAAAGUUACUACAAAGAGGAAAACGUUCCGAUAGGCGUAUCGAACGUGCAGCUGUCUUCACGAAGACGAUUUCUAUGGGAUCUCCGAUACCUAAUACUAUCUCUUCAAGUUAUACAACUAGCGCAUAGUUCUCGUGUCAACGUUCAGCCGCACAAACGCGUUCGUUGUGAAAGAUGAUAUUAGGUAAUCAAUUAUCUGUUGACGAAAGAGCGAGAGAACGGACGAUUGAUGAAAUGAAAAGUAUACAAUUGUGUUUACUGUAUCCACUUACAUUGCAUAUUUUAGAGCCUUAUUUUAUAUUCUUUAAAUAAUAUUUGGAGAAUUUAUAUUAAGUUGAUCUAAUAAAUUAAAUAUUUUCCGAAUAAAUAUUUUUUGUUAAUAAGAGAGAAUAUUUUUUAUUUUUUCAUUAUUGAACAAUAUAUGAAAUUGUAAUGUUUUGAUUUAUAAGAUAUUGGGUUUCUUCGCCGAAUGAUAGGUCCGCUCGAAUUAAUUUAGAUACAAACGCGGAAAUAAAUCGCGCAUGAGCGUAAAGUGCGAGAACACCAACUUGCAAUAUUGGAAGUCACAGGUGUUCGGCUUUCUCUAUCCGGAAACUAUUGUUUUCUCAUAACCCGUUCAUAACGGCUGGCGCCUCGUAUGUUUCUUUAGGAUCACACCACACGGAAUUUCAAACGCUGCCGGCAUCGAAGCGCUCGCGUUUCAUUCGAAUUCGACCUAAGACAACAAACAGACGGUUUCCUGCUGUGUAAAGCGUACAACUAUUUUUUUUUCUAUGCAUAACUUCGCUGGACCACCGUGUAGUGAUGUAACAUUUGAUGUCACAUUGCAUAAAUAUCAAACCGCAUUGAUAGCAAUGAAUUAUACAUUUGUUUGCAAUUUAGAAAAGUUUCAAUCUUCGUGAUCAGAAAAAAUUUCAUUAACAUGUCAUUUGAAAAAUUAUACAGUCAGAUAUUUCUCAACAUUGUCAACAAAAACGGUAAUACAUAUGGUAAUGCAUAAAAUAAAAAGCUAAAAAUAAAAGCUAAAAAUUAGCUUGAUUCAGAUUUGAAAAUUUUGUUAGCCCGUCAAAAUUAAAACGCUCAAGCUAUAAAUUACUACACAUUGAAACUUUUUGUAGCACAUUGUCCUUUAUGAUUAUUUUUAUACUUUAACAAAAAUAUUUUCAGAUUCAUAUUCACAAUUACAUGAGACACUUUAGCAAAAUUAUUCUUUUUAGUACAUAUAUCUCAUCAUUUUAAUAACGAAAGAUAUAAUUUGUGAAACUUAAAGAUAAUCUGGAUAUCUUCGGGUCUUCAGAUCGUUCUUCAUAAUUGUAUCUUAGCCUCGCUAUCUGUAAUAUUUGAAUAACAAAUUUCUCAUACGUCAAAGGCAACAGUUGUUUGUGAAGAUGACCGGAAGAAAUCGACAUCCGCGUCUUGAACAGAGAUUAGAGCUGCAUACACAUCAAUCAACUUCGUCUCUGGGGAGGGAGGGCCACUUCUCUAUCUACGUAAACAGUGGUUUGCCACGGGGAUCACGUUUCCACAGUCGGGACCACACCCGACAGCAUGUUAGUAUUUGCACGCGGCGUUAGUUGCCUCUGGGCUGCAUGUGGGGUACGCACGUGCGUGUCCGUACCGUCCUAUCCGGAGCUUCCUGAUGUGAUAAUGUACGAGAUAACGCGACCGAUGCAUUCGGAAUACGUAAGAGCAAAACCGUACGUAUACCUAGCAUCUUCGAUCUUUGCUUGAGUUUUAGCUUCGUUGCAAUAUAUCGCCGGACACAUUCGUGGAAUACAAACAUUAAUAGACUAAAGAAAGUUCUGUAUUUUAAAUUUAUCGUGAAAUGUGCAAAUAUCAUCUUGUGCUAUUUAAUUUUAAAUCAAAAAUAUUUUGAAAGCAUGAAUAUAAUUUGAAAAUUAUUCUAAAGUUGUUAUUAUUCAUAUUUAGACACAUCUUUCCACUUUCUACUUUCUACUACUUUAGUUUUAUAUCGAAAAAAGUUAAA